RNAcentral lists this ribosomal RNA (1537 nucleotides) under Salmonella enterica subsp. enterica serovar Typhimurium. RNAcentral describes it as "bacterial SSU rRNA". It matches the Rfam family "Bacterial small subunit ribosomal RNA". Lineage: Bacteria; Pseudomonadati; Pseudomonadota; Gammaproteobacteria; Enterobacterales; Enterobacteriaceae. The record is from RNAcentral.
AUCAUGGCUCAGAUUGAACGCUGGCGGCAGGCCUAACACAUGCAAGUCGAACGGUAACAGGAAGCAGCUUGCUGCUUCGCUGACGAGUGGCGGACGGGUGAGUAAUGUCUGGGAAACUGCCUGAUGGAGGGGGAUAACUACUGGAAACGGUGGCUAAUACCGCAUAACGUCGCAAGACCAAAGAGGGGGACCUUCGGGCCUCUUGCCAUCAGAUGUGCCCAGAUGGGAUUAGCUAGUUGGUGAGGUAACGGCUCACCAAGGCGACGAUCCCUAGCUGGUCUGAGAGGAUGACCAGCCACACUGGAACUGAGACACGGUCCAGACUCCUACGGGAGGCAGCAGUGGGGAAUAUUGCACAAUGGGCGCAAGCCUGAUGCAGCCAUGCCGCGUGUAUGAAGAAGGCCUUCGGGUUGUAAAGUACUUUCAGCGGGGAGGAAGGUGUUGUGGUUAAUAACCGCAGCAAUUGACGUUACCCGCAGAAGAAGCACCGGCUAACUCCGUGCCAGCAGCCGCGGUAAUACGGAGGGUGCAAGCGUUAAUCGGAAUUACUGGGCGUAAAGCGCACGCAGGCGGUCUGUCAAGUCGGAUGUGAAAUCCCCGGGCUCAACCUGGGAACUGCAUUCGAAACUGGCAGGCUUGAGUCUUGUAGAGGGGGGUAGAAUUCCAGGUGUAGCGGUGAAAUGCGUAGAGAUCUGGAGGAAUACCGGUGGCGAAGGCGGCCCCCUGGACAAAGACUGACGCUCAGGUGCGAAAGCGUGGGGAGCAAACAGGAUUAGAUACCCUGGUAGUCCACGCCGUAAACGAUGUCUACUUGGAGGUUGUGCCCUUGAGGCGUGGCUUCCGGAGCUAACGCGUUAAGUAGACCGCCUGGGGAGUACGGCCGCAAGGUUAAAACUCAAAUGAAUUGACGGGGGCCCGCACAAGCGGUGGAGCAUGUGGUUUAAUUCGAUGCAACGCGAAGAACCUUACCUGGUCUUGACAUCCACAGAACUUUCCAGAGAUGGAUUGGUGCCUUCGGGAACUGUGAGACAGGUGCUGCAUGGCUGUCGUCAGCUCGUGUUGUGAAAUGUUGGGUUAAGUCCCGCAACGAGCGCAACCCUUAUCCUUUGUUGCCAGCGAUUAGGUCGGGAACUCAAAGGAGACUGCCAGUGAUAAACUGGAGGAAGGUGGGGAUGACGUCAAGUCAUCAUGGCCCUUACGACCAGGGCUACACACGUGCUACAAUGGCGCAUACAAAGAGAAGCGACCUCGCGAGAGCAAGCGGACCUCAUAAAGUGCGUCGUAGUCCGGAUUGGAGUCUGCAACUCGACUCCAUGAAGUCGGAAUCGCUAGUAAUCGUGGAUCAGAAUGCCACGGUGAAUACGUUCCCGGGCCUUGUACACACCGCCCGUCACACCAUGGGAGUGGGUUGCAAAAGAAGUAGGUAGCUUAACCUUCGGGAGGGCGCUUACCACUUUGUGAUUCAUGACUGGGGUGAAGUCGUAACAAGGUAACCGUAGGGGAACCUGCGGUUGGAUCACCUCCUUACCUUAAAGAA